GAUGAAGAACGUAGCGAAAUGCGAUACUUGGUGUGAAUUGCAGAAUCCCGUGAACCAUCGAGUCUUUGAGCGCAAGUUGCGCCCGAAGCCAUUAGGCCGAGGGCACGCCUGCCUGGGCGUCACACGUCGUUGCCCCCCCAUCUACUCCUUCGGGAUUGCGGGGGGCGGAUGAUGGCCUCCCGUGCGCCUCGCCGCGCGGUUGGCAUAAAUGCCAAGUCCUCGGCGACGCACGCCACGACAAUCGGUGGUUGCGAAACCUCGGUUGCCCGUCGUGUGCGGUCGUCGCGCAUCGAGGGCUCGAAAAAAUUGCCGGGUUCCGGCUCGGCUUUCAACGCGACCCCAGGUCAGGCGGGGUUACCCGCUGAAUUUAAGCAUAUCAAUAAGCGGAGGA
RNAcentral lists this unclassified non-coding RNA (391 nucleotides) under soil metagenome. Its description in RNAcentral is "partial contains 5.8S ribosomal RNA, internal transcribed spacer 2, and large subunit ribosomal RNA". The stretch from base 1 to 122 matches the Rfam family "5.8S ribosomal RNA", at positions 35 to 154 of the family's 154-position model. The record is from RNAcentral.